Long non-coding RNA from Magnolia sinica, 590 nucleotides. RefSeq lists it as uncharacterized. The record is from RefSeq and is a predicted model, not a curated record. The transcript is spliced from 3 exons. Lineage: Eukaryota; Viridiplantae; Streptophyta; Magnoliopsida; Magnoliales; Magnoliaceae.
UCUGUUAUAGAUGUAUGAUCUUUUGCUAAUUUUGAAAUAAAGAUAAAUUAGUAGAUCAGUUCCACUUUUAUGCAAAUGAGCUUAAUUAUGAUGUAUUCAUGGCUUUUAAAUCAGAACAUGAGCUCACUCUACAUGUCAUUAGUUAAAGGAUCAUAUAACUCCUCUUGGUUUGUUUUCAAUCUCAUAAAAGAUUACUGAUUUUUCAAGCUUCUUCCGGCUUACAGAGUCGUUAGGUGCCUUCUAAUUGGUAACAGAUUUUGCAAUUUCUCAUCUAGUAGCAUUGAUUGUUUGAAUAUCUUACUUCCAUAUCAAGAUUUCUCAUUUUUCUGUUCCCUCUUUUCCUUUUUUCCUUUGUGAUUUUCACUGUUUAUAAGGAUACUAAUUCAUAUACAAAAGAAGGAGAAGAAGAAGAAUAAAGAAGCCGCUCAGGAAGGAAGAAGUGCAGCCACUUCAGCUGCUUACAAAACAUUGGCACAGGAGUUCAUUGAACAGUGGUUUCCUUCUCCCCGUAUCCUGGCAUUCAAAGACAUGCCUCAACAAUUGAAAGUGAGGCUUCUAGAAGAGGUGGGAGAGCACGAUAGAGAACGAAU